Molecule: transfer RNA, 73 nt
Filed under: Anaerolineales bacterium
Lineage: Bacteria; Bacillati; Chloroflexota; Anaerolineae; Anaerolineales
Also listed under: 1 other name
Description: tRNA-His
Rfam family: tRNA
About the family: Transfer RNA (tRNA) molecules are approximately 80 nucleotides in length. Their secondary structure includes four short double-helical elements and three loops (D, anti-codon, and T loops). Further hydrogen bonds mediate the characteristic L-shaped molecular structure. tRNAs have two regions of fundamental functional importance: the anti-codon, which is responsible for specific mRNA codon recognition, and the 3' end, to which the tRNAs corresponding amino acid is attached (by aminoacyl-tRNA synthetases). tRNAs cope with the degeneracy of the genetic code in two manners: having more than one tRNA (with a specific anti-codon) for a particular amino acid; and 'wobble' base-pairing, i.e. permitting non-standard base-pairing at the 3rd anti-codon position.
Source: RNAcentral
GCGGGUAUAGUGUAGUGGUUAACACGUCUGGUUGUGGCCCAGAAGACCGUGGGUUCAAAUCCCACUACUCGCC